RNAcentral lists this unclassified non-coding RNA (397 nucleotides) under uncultured Bacilli bacterium. RNAcentral's name for it is "partial contains 16S ribosomal RNA, 16S-23S ribosomal RNA intergenic spacer, and 23S ribosomal RNA". The stretch from base 285 to 397 matches the Rfam family "Bacterial large subunit ribosomal RNA", at positions 1 to 113 of the family's 2925-position model. Lineage: Bacteria; Bacillati; Bacillota; Bacilli. The record is from RNAcentral.
UCUAAGGACUUCUUAGCCUAACGGCUAGAACACAUUCGAGAACUACGGUUCUCAGAAGGCAAAGUCAAGAGGGCCUCUGAAAGACUUCGGUCCCAAGACCUGUCCUUGAAACUUGUCUUCAAAACCAGCUCGUAUCGAGCUUCUCUAUCAACUACUCGUUUAGUCUUGAGGGAUCAAGUCUCUGGGCGUUAGCCUAUGAGGUUUGUGAUCUCUUGUUCUUUGAAAACUGGAUAGCAAACUUUGUGAUUCAAGACAUCGAAAGUAUCUUUCGAAGCUAUAACUUAGGUUAAGCUACGAAGGGCGCACGGAGGAUGCCUUGGCGCCAAGUGCCGAUGAAGGACGGGGCAAACGCCGAAACGCCUCGGGGAGCCGUAAGCAGGCUGUGAUCCGAGGAUAU